Molecule: ribosomal RNA, 334 nt
Filed under: uncultured bacterium
Lineage: Bacteria
Description: bacterial SSU rRNA
Rfam family: Bacterial small subunit ribosomal RNA
Source: RNAcentral
GACGAACGCUUGCGACGUGCCUGAGAAAUGCAAGUCGAGCGGUAGGUAGCCUUUCGGGGUUUCCUAUAGCGGCGAACGGUCGAGUAACACGUAACCGACCUGCCCAUCGGUCUGGGAUAGCCCUUCGAAAGGGGGAGUAAUACCGGAUAGUUUCUACUUUGUUGCAUGCAUGAGUGAAUAAAAGCUUUAGUUGCCGAUGGAGGGGGUUGCGUCCUAUCAGCUGGUUGGCGGGGUAACGGCCCACCAAGGCGACGACGGGUAGCUGGUCUGAGAGGAUGGUCAGCCGGAUUGGGACUGAGACACGGCCCAAACUCCUACGGGGGGCGAGCAAUCA